This is a long non-coding RNA of Bos taurus (domestic cattle), 1435 nucleotides long. Lineage: Eukaryota; Metazoa; Chordata; Mammalia; Artiodactyla; Bovidae. The record is from Ensembl.
UAAAUGACCCAAAGAGACAUAAUUUCAUGUUGUCUCAAGAGAUUUCUCCUGGCCAAGUAACACAAGACAGGCUGCCUCCAGGCUGCUGCUCCCAGCCCCAGGGCUUUCAGCAAAGUGAAACCGGCCAUUUCCAAAGUCAAAUUCUUCAGGGCAGCAUUAAGUCUUUGUCUUAUCGGGAAAGGCCUGAGGGUAGGAGAGGACAACUCUUUUAUGUCAUAAUGAGUAUGGAUUUCCACUCUGGAGAAGUCAACUGAUGAAGAACAGGGGUUGGCAAUCUUCCCGUUGGUGUAUUUUUGGUAAAUUGCUGACUCUGAUGCAGAAGGAGCAUGGAUGCUGAAGCCAAGAAGCAGAAAUCAGCCAACUGACAGAAGUGGCAACUAGACACAAAACAACUUAGUGAUGGGUUCAAGAAGAUGGGGUCAAUUUAAAAUUUUUUUAAUUUAUUCUUCAGUUACAACUGAAUAUAUUUUUGAGCAGGCAAUGAAUUAAAACACAAAGAACAGUAAGCAGAGAAACAUAUGUUAGGUAAAUUACAGAGACUUUUUAGUGAAACUAUUUUUUAACUUACUGCAAUUCAACUCAAGAUAAUAUUUUUAUAUUUUCAAGUUAAUUUUUACAUCACAAAUCAAGAUUUAUCUAUGUUCAGAUAGGUUCUGCUGGCUUAUGUCCAAAAGGCUUUGCUCUCUGGAGAGAAGUAUUCCUUGCUUUUAAAGCACUUAUUAACACUUUUUACUUGUCAGGAAUUAUGCCCAGUAUCAAGGCUAUGAAGGACUAGACACAGCCCCUAUCCUGGUGGGGUGGGGAGGGAUUGUCAUGGAGACUAUAUGCUCAAACAUUUUCCCGCCUCACCAUCAUUUUCCAUCUUACAAUGCCACCAAUCUGAGCUUUAUAGAUAGUUUCUCUGUACAGUUUCUGUACAUUUGAUAAUGAUCCUUAAUUCAAUUCACCUGACCUCUCAAAAUCUUGCCAUGCUUUAUUUUUUCCUUUCUUUAACUUCUUUUUUUCCCCCUGGGUUCGUUCUUCCAUGCCAGCUGUCACUGUGACACAAUGAAGAGCUAAACUGAGAAGGUUCUGCUCACCUCUGAUUUCCCACACUGGGCUCAAACAGUAAGAGUUUUGUUAUGAACUAUCUUCCCAAAUUUGCCCUAGCCCAUUUAUCCCUAGAGUGUUUUCUUUUAUGUUAAUAAACCAUCAUUUUAUGUGUGCAUGCUAAGUUGCUUCAGUUGUGCCUGACUCUUUGUGACCUUAUGGACUGUAGUCUGCCAGGCUCCUCUGUCCAUGCGAUUCUUCAGGCAGGAAUAUUGGAAUAAGUUGCCAUGCCCUCCUCCAGGGGAUCUUCCUGACCCAGCGAUCAAACCCAUGGCUCCUUCGGCUCCUGCAUUGCAGGCGGUUUCUUUACCCCUGAGCCACCGGGGAACCCCUCACUGUUAUAUGC